GACGAACGCUGGCGGCGUGCUUAACACAUGCAAGUCGAACGGAAAGGCCCUGCUUUUGUGGGGUGCCCGAGUGGCGAACGGGUGAGUAACACGUGAGUAACCUGCCCUUGACUUUGGGAUAACUUCAGGAAACUGGGGCUACUACCGGAUAGGAGCUCCUGCUGCAUGGUGGGGGUUGGAAAGUUUCGGCGGUUGGGGAUGGACUCGCGGCUUAUCAGCUUGUUGGUGGGGUAGUGGCUUACCAAGGCUUUGACGGGUAGCCGGCCUGAGAGGGUGACCGGCCACAUUGGGACUGAGAUACGGCCCAGACUCCUACGGGAGGCAGCAGUGGGGAAUAUUGCACAAUGGGCGGAAGCCUGAUGCAGCAACGCCGCGUGCGGGAUGACGGCCUUCGGGUUGUAAACCGCUUUCGCCUGUGACGAAGCGUGAGUGACGGUAAUGGGUAAAGAAGCACCGGCUAACUACGUG
Molecule: ribosomal RNA, 468 nt
Filed under: uncultured bacterium
Lineage: Bacteria
Description: partial 16S ribosomal RNA
Rfam family: Bacterial small subunit ribosomal RNA
Source: RNAcentral